GCCCUUAGUACCAAUAACUAUAUCGGUCCCACUAGGCCAACCCCCCCCCCCACCUCACCACAGAGGUUCGCCCAACGGCCCAAAUCAUAGUUAGCCGCCUCGCACUCCCGUCUACAGGGCUCCAGUCAGGGCCUCACAAGUCACGGCCACACAUAUUAUAGAGUUUGGAAGUAUUAGAUAGUGGGCGAUACCUUUUAGAGUGAGUGCAAUAUUAGAACACCCAUGAAGGUGUUUAUAGG
Molecule: non-coding RNA, 239 nt
Organism: Pelobates cultripes (western spadefoot toad)
Lineage: Eukaryota; Metazoa; Chordata; Amphibia; Anura; Pelobatidae
Source: the annotation of a GenBank genome assembly